RNAcentral lists this ribosomal RNA (253 nucleotides) under uncultured bacterium. RNAcentral describes it as "partial 16S ribosomal RNA". It matches the Rfam family "Bacterial small subunit ribosomal RNA", at positions 524 to 776 of the family's 1533-position model. The record is from RNAcentral.
UACGAAGGGGGCUAGCGUUGCUCGGAAUCACUGGGCGUAAAGCGCACGUAGGCGGCUUUCUAAGUCAGGGGUGAAAUCCUGGAGCUCAACUCCAGAACUGCCUUUGAUACUGGAGAGCUUGAGUCCGGGAGAGGUGAGUGGAACUCCGAGUGUAGAGGUGAAAUUCGUAGAUAUUCGGAAGAACACCAGUGGCGAAGGCGACUCACUGGCCCGAUACUGACGCUGAGGCGCGAAAGCGUGGGGAGCAAACAGG